AUUGAACGCUGGCGGCAGGCCUAACACAUGCAAGUCGAGCGGAUGAAGGGGGCUUGCUCCUGGAUUCAGCGGCGGACGGGUGAGUAAUGCCUAGGAAUCUGCCUGGUAGUGGGGGAUAACGUCCGGAAACGGGCGCUAAUACCGCAUACGUCCUGAGGGAGAAAGUGGGGGAUCUUCGGACCUCACGCUAUCGGAUGAGCCUAGGUCGGAUUAGCUAGUUGGUGGGGUAAAGGCCUACCAAGGCGACGAUCCGUAACUGGUCUGAGAGGAUGAUCAGUCACACUGGAACUGAGACACGGUCCAGACUCCUACGGGAGGCAGCAGUGGGGAAUAUUGGACAAUGGGCGAAAGCCUGAUCCAGCCAUGCCGCGUGUGUGAAGAAGGUCUUCGGAUUGUAAAGCACUUUAAGUUGGGAGGAAGGGCAGUAAGUUAAUACCUUGCUGUUUUGACGUUACCAACAGAAUAAGCACCGGCUAACUUCGUG
Molecule: ribosomal RNA, 484 nt
Filed under: uncultured bacterium
Lineage: Bacteria
Description: partial 16S ribosomal RNA
Rfam family: Bacterial small subunit ribosomal RNA
Source: RNAcentral